AUCCGUGCUGAGAUUUCGUCAUACACCAGACCACAAGGGCUGAUGAGACUUCCAAGAU
RNAcentral lists this microRNA precursor (58 nucleotides) under Schistosoma margrebowiei. RNAcentral's name for it is "mir-3492 microRNA precursor family". It matches the Rfam family "mir-3492 microRNA precursor family", at positions 11 to 69 of the family's 79-position model. The record is from Rfam by way of RNAcentral. Lineage: Eukaryota; Metazoa; Platyhelminthes; Trematoda; Strigeidida; Schistosomatidae.